This is a long non-coding RNA of Salmo trutta (river trout), 1723 nucleotides long. Ensembl annotates it as NEDD4-binding protein 2-like 1. Lineage: Eukaryota; Metazoa; Chordata; Actinopteri; Salmoniformes; Salmonidae. The record is from Ensembl.
UCUUCUAAACAGAGUACAGCUGCUGAUGUGCUGUGUACUGUAGUUGGUGGUGAAGCAGUCUGAAGUAUAAGAGAAAUGUCGAGAGGAAGACAAAAUCAACGCUUGAAGAAACUGAUCAUCCUUCGAGGUUUGCCAGGAGUUGGAAAGACAAGCAAGGCAGAAAUGCUCUGUGAUGAAUAUGCAGGACUUGGACUGGAAGGAGAAAUUUUCUCCACUGACAGGUACCAUGAAAGAACCGACUACACCAAAGGAAACUUUCAACGCAACCAUCGGCGGAAUAGAGAGGAUGGUGUGUAUUGGGUGGCUGGGGGCAGGGGCAGAAACAAUCUGCUCAUGAUGUCAUUACACACACAUAGUUUGUUCUUCUUUAAAGUACUGGUACUCUGGCUUGUUUUGACAGUUUUUAAAGCCUUGAACAGAGGAGUGGAUCCGAUCAUCGUUGACAACACAAACAUUUCUCUUUGGGAGAUGUGGCCCUAUAUCCACAUGGUGAGGACGUGUGUGUGUGUGUGUGUGUGUGUGUGUGUGUGUGUGUGUGUGUGUGUGUGUGUGAUAUGCAUAUGAUUUCUAGUUUAGUUAGUCCCAGCUACCAGGCAUUGCAGAGAUAUUUUAAUGUUAUUUUUGUAACUCUCCACUUAUUUUCUAGUCAUUGUCACAUCCUUUGUACAUGAGAACCUAAACAGCAUCUGACUCACUACAAGACUGGUUGAAGCUGGUUUCCAGAUGACUUCCUACUAGGUGGCGCUAGAGGCGGAGUCAGAUAGUUUCCUCUUGGUUAGACAUGUUGUUGAUAAAUCUGACACUUUAUUCUACUUUUUACGAUGUUAUUAAUAUCCCAAUUGGUCUUCUGACAGACAAAUGGACAGAUUAAACAGAUUCAUGUCAUAAUAAAGUAUUCUUUCUCUCAGGGGAUGCGACAGGGUGACUAUGACAUCACUAUGAUGGAGCUGCCUAAAGGCUAUCCUCAGGAAAAAAUCUCCAUCAACAAGCUGUACAGGUCAGAAACAACCUCUUCAUUAACAGCCUACAUUCUCACAGUGUAUACACAGUACAUGUGCAUUGGGGUAGGAUUGUAUACUUGUUUAUCAGUUUUACAGCCGACAAUAGAUUGUUAUUACUUAUCUAUAAAUUACACAUUGGUUAUCAAUUCAAUGAUAAAAAAGCUGUGUUAUCUCCCUAUAGAUGGUGUAAGCAUAAGAUCCCCAAGCGUAAGUUCAGGUACUUUGAGGCUCGCUGGGAAGAAGCUUACAACAUCUGGCAUGUAUUUAACGACAGCUACUCCAUAAACCGCUGGAAGAGAAGCAAAGAGAAAUGGAACGUCCAGUGAUGAAGACAUGCUGGCCUUCUCCCCCCCCCAAAGUCCCCAAAAUCCAGAACAAAUUCAAGAAAAUGUACAGUAUUAUAUAGAGCCCUUAUUGCAUGGAACUUCCUUCCAUCUCAUAUUACUCAAAUAAACAGCAAACCUGGUUUCAAAAAACAGAUAAAGCAACACCUCGUGGCACAACGCCUCUCCCCUAUUUGACCUAGAUAGUUUAUGUGUAUGUAUUGAUAUGUAGGCUACGUGUGCCUUUUAAAAAUGUAUGUAGUUCUGUCCUUGAGCUGUUCUUGUCUAAUGAUGUUCUGUAUUAUGUCAUUCUGUAUUAUGUUUCAUGUUUUGUGUUGACCCCAGGAAGAGUAGCUGCUGCUUUUGCAACAGAUAAUGGGGAUCCUAUUAAAAUACCAA